GAACUGCGAUAAGUAAUGUGAAUUGCAGAAUUCAGUGAAUCAUCGAGUCUUUGAACGCACAUUGCGCCCCCUGGCAUUCCGGGGGGCAUGCCUGUCCGAGCGUCAUUGCUGCCCUUCAAGCCCGGCUUGUGUGUUGGGUCGUCGUCCCCUCCGGGGGACGGGCCCGAAAGGCAGCGGCGGCACCGCGUCCGGUCUUCGAGCGUAUGGGGCUUUGUCACCCGCUCGAUAAGGACCGGCCGGGCGCCAGCCGGCGUCUCCAACCUUUUUUUCUCAGGUUGACCUCGGAUCAGGUAGGGAUACCCGCUGAACUUAAGC
RNAcentral lists this unclassified non-coding RNA (315 nucleotides) under plant metagenome. Its description in RNAcentral is "partial contains 5.8S ribosomal RNA, internal transcribed spacer 2, and large subunit ribosomal RNA". The stretch from base 1 to 105 matches the Rfam family "5.8S ribosomal RNA", at positions 50 to 154 of the family's 154-position model. The record is from RNAcentral.